UGUGGAUGAAGUCUCCUCCCCGUUAUCAUGAUUCAUGAGAAAGUUGUGAAACAUGAAAAUGAGGUACAGUGUUUCUUUUGAACAGCCUAAAGAGAAGAGCAAACAUAGCUUCAGGAGAAAUAUCGCCAAAUACUUGUGUUUUUCUUCUAUUGUCAAAAGCUUCAGUAAAACAUAAAUCUUUAUUAAAAUUCUUCUAUUAUUCAGAGACAGCUGGACUAAUUCUGAACUCAGGAUCUUUAAGUCUGAAACGAUGAGCCAUUCAGACAGUGGCAAUGUGGGGGAAGAUGAAGUUUUUGAACCUCAACAUGAACAAGUAAACAGAGGGUCAAAGGUCACCACAAAAAUAGGGGCGGUGGUGGUUGUCUGUGUUCUCCUGGCAACUGCUGUCUUUUUGACGUUCUGCUUCUGGUGAUUUACUGGAACAACAAAGAACCAGACAACUGGUUCCUCAUACCAGCAACUGGUAUGAGGAAAAUCCUGAUGGAGAAGUCUGUGACAGGACGGAGGUAAAAGGUGGCGCUCCUGGCCUGAAGUGUUGGUUUGAUAAAUGGUGCACUAUACCUCAAAGAAAUAACUUAACUGGACAGUUUGUAUUUGGUUUACAUCAAGUUCAGCGUACAAAACAAUCUAAGUACAGGGUAGAGAUAGUGAAAUGACACUUUCCAACUCUGAUGUCACAAACACUUAAAAGAAACUUCAAGGAAAAAAUUAAAGAGAAGAGUUGAAUAAUAUAACAUGAAAAACCUAUCCUUCUAAUUGCUUUACCUGCUUAAUCAAUUAAAUGUUGGUGGGGGGAGAAGGAGGGGGUGGGGUGUAGUCCCAAGUGCCAGAAAGCGAGCGGAGGAGUACGCCCUCAACAGGUCACCAGUUACAUGCCAGAUAUAUUAAUAUUUUAUGUCUUAUAUCUUUUGUCUUCAUUUACAUUAUUAUUAUGAGCCGCUGUUCUCGUGCUUUCUGUGAAACAGUUUCCAACCAUUUAUUUUUUUCUAAUUUUUUUAAGCUUUUGCAAAAACAAUUUCCUGGAAAAGUUUGAAUGACACUGAUCCAGAAAAAAAAAAAAAAAACAAUUGUGCUUGAUGGAAAUAAACACCUCCAGUCUGUUGA
Long non-coding RNA from Oreochromis aureus, 1104 nucleotides. RefSeq lists it as uncharacterized. NCBI's taxonomy places the organism in Eukaryota, Metazoa, Chordata, Actinopteri, Cichliformes, Cichlidae. The record is from RefSeq and is a predicted model, not a curated record. The transcript has 3 exons.